RNAcentral lists this ribosomal RNA (460 nucleotides) under uncultured bacterium. RNAcentral describes it as "partial 16S ribosomal RNA". It matches the Rfam family "Bacterial small subunit ribosomal RNA", at positions 338 to 795 of the family's 1533-position model. The record is from RNAcentral.
CCUACGGGAGGCAGCAGUGAGGAAUAUUGGUCAAUGGACGAGAGUCUGAACCAGCCAAGUAGCGUGAAGGAUGACUGCCCUAUGGGUUGUAAACUUCUUUUAUAUGGGAAUAAAAUGUUCCACGUGUGGGAUUUUGUAUGUACCAUAUGAAUAAGGAUCGGCUAACUCCGUGCCAGCAGCCGCGGUAAUACGGAGGAUCCGAGCGUUAUCCGGAUGUAUUGGGUUUAAAGGGAGCGUAGGUGGAUUGUUAAGUCAGUUGUGAAAGUUUGCGGCUCAACCGUAAAAUUGCAGUUGAAACUGGCAGUCUUGAGUACAGUAGAGGUGGGCGGAAUUCGUGGUGUAGCGGUGAAAUGCUUAGAUAUCACGAAGAACUCCGAUUGCGAAGGCAGCUCACUGGACUGCAACUGACGCUGAGGCUCGAAAGUGUGGGUAUCAAACAGGAUUAGAUACCCCAGUAGUC